UGCUUUACACAUGCAAGUCGAACGGAUUAAAGAGCUUGCUCUUUAGUUAGUGGCGAACGGGUGAGUAAUAUAUCGGAACAUAUCCGGAAGUGGGGGAUAACGUAGCGAAAGUUACGCUAAUACCGCAUAUGCCCUGAGGGGGAAAGGGGGGGAUCGCAAGACCUCUCGCUUUCGGAGUGGCCGAUAUCGGAUUAGCUAGUAGGCGGGGUAAUGGCCCACCUAGCCUACGAUCUCUAGCUGGUCUGAGAGGAUGAUCAGCCACACUGGAACUGAGACACGGUCCAGACUCCUACGGGAGGCAGCAGUGGGGAAUAUUGGACAAUGGGCGAAAGCCUGAUCCAGCCAUACCGCGUGAGUGAAGAAGGCCUUCGGGUUGUAAAGCUC
Molecule: ribosomal RNA, 384 nt
Filed under: uncultured organism
Description: bacterial SSU rRNA
Rfam family: Bacterial small subunit ribosomal RNA
Source: RNAcentral